RNAcentral lists this ribosomal RNA (748 nucleotides) under Lobothallia alphoplaca. RNAcentral describes it as "partial 18S ribosomal RNA". It matches the Rfam family "Eukaryotic large subunit ribosomal RNA", at positions 184 to 933 of the family's 3401-position model. The record is from RNAcentral. Lineage: Eukaryota; Fungi; Ascomycota; Lecanoromycetes; Pertusariales; Megasporaceae.
AGUCCCUUGGAACAGGGCGUCAUAGAGGGUGAAAAUCCCGUAUGUGGCCGGCGGUCAAUUCCAUGUGAAACCCCUUCGACGAGUCGAGUUGUUUGGGAAUGCAGCUCAAAAUGGGUGGUAAAUUUCAUCUAAAGCUAAAUACCGGCCAGAGACCGAUAGCGCACAAGUAGAGUGAUCGAAAGAUGAAAAGCACUUUGGAAAGAGAGUUAAACAGUACGUGAAAUUGUUGAAAGGGAAGCGCUUGCAACCAGACUUGCUCGCGGGUGAUCAGCCUCCCGUGAGGGGGGUGCACUCGCCCGCGAUCAGGCCAGCAUCGGUUUUGGCGGGCGAAUAAAGUCCCCAGGAAUGUAGCUCCCCUCGAGGAGUGUUAUAGCCUGGGGCGUCAUGCGCCCAGCCGGGACCGAGGACCGCGCUUCGGCUAGGAUGCUGGCGUAAUGGUUGUAAGCGACCCGUCUUGAAACACGGACCAAGGAGUCUAACAUCUAUGCGAGUGUUUGGGUGUUAAACCCAUGCGCGGAAUGAAAGUGAACGGAGGUGGGAACCCCCUCAGGGGCGCACCAUCGACCGAUCCUGAUGUCUUCGGAUGGAUUUGAGUAGGAGCAUGGCUGUUGGGACCCGAAAGAUGGUGAACUAUGCCUGAAUAGGGUGAAGCCAGAGGAAACUCUGGUGGAGGCUCGCAGCGGUUCUGACGUGCAAAUCGAUCGUCAAAUUUGGGUAUAGGGGCGAAAGGUACGUGGAUUCUACGCAA